UCAUAUCUGAACCAGUAUUUAAAUGGGCAGACAAAAAGCACACAUAAUACUUCAAAUAAGAGCAACCAGAUCCUUACAAGUGUAAUACAGUGGCAAUCACAGUAAUGACUACAAGUGUAAUACAGUACUUUACAAGCUUUACAAGCAAUCACAAACUGGCACCUGCUCCCGUCAUGAACAUGCCAAACUUACAACAUGCCAAACUCGUUGGACUACCAUAGUGAUAUGAACAACAUGCCGAACUAGCUGGACAACCGUAGUUAGGGCUGGGAACAAACAGAACGGCCUUCAAGAAAACAGACAACAUGCCUUCCUCGGUCGCCCUUUAACAUGAAUCAAUAGAGAAGAAUCAAAAAAACUGGGGCAAAUAUAUUAUGAACAGACCAUUCAAGAAAAGGAUAGUUAUUUAGAAUGAUAACACAAAUUGAGGUAGUACCAUGCUUUUUGUUCUCCAGCUAGUUAAAAUGAGAUGCUCGUUCAUACAAGAAAGGUGACUCGUGAACAUAGAGCAUUCUACUCGGUUCUUAUAAGCUUAUUCUUAUGCCUGAAGCAAGUAAGGAAAUCUGACCAAAUAAGCAACACCUCCAUAAACUGAUCGUGAUUAAAUGGAGCAGAGGAAGGAAAGGAGGUCACCAUGGCUGUUUUUGUAGCCGAUGCCGAAAAACACAGCUGCCACCACCGUUGCAUGGAAGCAGCAGAAAAGAGGAGCCUGGCAUGACGAACCCCUUGUACCGAAUCAAAUCAUGCUGCACAAGAAGGACAAGAGAAAUAAGAAGAUAAUCUUGAGGUCAAAUCGAAAAUCAGAAAAAUAAAUCAUGGACUCAAGCACAUUCAUACAUAUACUUUAAGUUGUUAAACAGAAUCAUAGAAUGCCAUCACGUAAUCCAAAAAAUUUGAACAUAUAUAUAUGCAUGCUUGUCAAAGUUUCAUUCCAGAGAAUUAAAGUGCUGGGUAAGAAGCCUGAUGUACAAUUGAUACAAGUUAAUACAAGCAUGAUGUACUACUCUGGGUAAGAAGAAGCAGGGUUAAAAUGGAAGCGUCGCUGCUGGGUUAUAUUAAUAAAUAAUCUAAGUGUUGCAACACCCAACAAGAUUUGCAUGAACAGGUAAAAGCUAGCAAGUACUUGUACUGGGAUGUUGUCCAUCAAACAGAGACAACAAACCAGCUUAUCACAAGACUGAUGCUGGACUCCAUUGCCGGAAUCUACAGCUAGGCACUCAAGCUUAAGGGGAUCCUCAUGUGGAUCGAGCCUGCAUGUUAAUCUUUACACUAGCAGGGCCAUUUCUGUUCUCUUUCUUUCUUUGACACCAGUGUCAUGUACUAUACUCAACUGUACUGCAAGUGCCAUGUGCUACUGCAGUUUAGUUGAGUUUUAAGACUAGAACAUGUUCUUGUAACCUUUGCAACUGAAGACACAGAAUAACUAAGUGGAUCAGCAUGAAUGAACAAGCUAAAGGGUCAGUGUCUAAUGUCAGAAUCUAGGGCUCAAGAGGAUCCUGUGUGGAUCAAGCCAAAGUGUUAAGGCUACCUUUUACAUCAGUGUCAUGUGCUAUAUUCAAACUGUGCUGCAGCUUAGUUGACUUGCAAGUAGGACUACAGUGAAGAUGCUAUUCUAACUUCUGUACUGAAGAAAAAGACACCAUCUGUACAUCAUGUUAAACAUUAGUACACAGCGCUGACGCUACUAUACAACCACGAAUUAAAUCAUUGGACACCGAGGCCGGAAUGGCGCUAGAGUGGACCAAGCAGUGAAACUGGGACAGAUUGGAUGAUUUUACCCUCGAGUAAUCUAAGCAGCUAGAACUGACGUCCUCCUUGACACCCGCAGCACCUCGGCGUACCAUGGUGAUGGCCUGCACAAACCCCCUGCAUGGAUCAGAUCAGAUCUAAUCAAGAAGAAGCAGAGGAGCGGAGGGGAGGGGAGGAGGGACGAGCAAUCAGUGCAUCAACAAAAUAUGGAACAUCAAGCACAGCAUGACAACUAGAGUAUAUGUAUUGCUGGCUCUUAUUAGUCCACAACCGACUGGAUUUUCAACCAUACUGUAACUAUCACUCCAUCCAUUAUUUAAACUACAAAAACGUCUUUAUAUUGAGAAACAUAGGUACUGGUUGCAUAUAUAGACUAGUAGCAGUACUAUGUGUGGCAGUUUUAACAAGUCAAAUAAUUUUACUGUAGACAAGUUGCAUAUAUAGACUAGUAGUAGUACUGUAAUCUAACCGUGGCUAAAGCAUACAAGAAACAUAUUGCAGUGUACUCUAGCCCAAACGAAUUCCCACCCAUGCCUUGUUUCAGAUUAGACACUUUCUUACAACUGAAUUCCAGAUACAAUUGGUUUAAGAUCCAUGUGUACUAAUUAAGAAAGAGGCGACAAGUAGCCAUUGCAUGUGACGGCAGGCAGACAGGAAAUGGUUAGGAAGAAGAGGAGCAGUGGAGCACUGACUGGUCCAUUGGAGACCCUGGUCUUGUCCUUCUUGAAGACGACCCCGAAUCCCCGAUGCACUCACUGUCGACCACAUUGGAGGCACUAA
RNAcentral lists this long non-coding RNA (2529 nucleotides) under Triticum aestivum (bread wheat). Its description in RNAcentral is "long non-coding RNA (TAES_LNC018626)". The record is from RNAcentral. Lineage: Eukaryota; Viridiplantae; Streptophyta; Magnoliopsida; Poales; Poaceae.